GGGUUGUGAGGUUAAGCGACUAAGCGUACACGGUGGAUGCCCUGGCAGUCAGAGGCGAUGAAGGACGUGCUAAUCUGCGAUAAGCGUCGGUAAGGUGAUAUGAACCGUUAUAACCGGCGAUUUCCGAAUGGGGAAACCCAGUGUGAUUCGUCACACUAUCAUUAACUGAAUCCAUAGGUUAAUGAGGCGAACCGGGGGAACUGAAACAUCUAAGUACCCCGAGGAAAAGAAAUCAACCGAGAUUCCCCCAGUAGCGGCGAGCGAACGGGGAGCAGCCCAGAGCCUGAAUCAGUGUGUGUGUUAGUGGAAGCGUCUGGAAAGGCGCGCGAUACAGGGUGACAGCCCCGUACACAAAAAUGCACAUGCUGUGAGCUCGAUGAGUAGGGCGGGACACGUGGUAUCCUGUCUGAAUAUGGGGGGACCAUCCUCCAAGGCUAAAUACUCCUGACUGACCGAUAGUGAACCAGUACCGUGAGGGAAAGGCGAAAAGAACCCCGGCGAGGGGAGUGAAAAAGAACCUGAAACCGUGUACGUACAAGCAGUGGGAGCACGCUUAGGCGUGUGACUGCGUACCUUUUGUAUAAUGGGUCAGCGACUUAUAUUCUGUAGCAAGGUUAACCGAAUAGGGGAGCCGAAGGGAAACCGAGUCUUAACUGGGCGUUAAGUUGCAGGGUAUAGACCCGAAACCCGGUGAUCUAGCCAUGGGCAGGUUGAAGGUUGGGUAACACUAACUGGAGGACCGAACCGACUAAUGUUGAAAAAUUAGCGGAUGACUUGUGGCUGGGGGUGAAAGGCCAAUCAAACCGGGAGAUAGCUGGUUCUCCCCGAAAGCUAUUUAGGUAGCGCCUCGUGAAUUCAUCUCCGGGGGUAGAGCACUGUUUCGGCAAGGGGGUCAUCCCGACUUACCAACCCGAUGCAAACUGCGAAUACCGGAGAAUGUUAUCACGGGAGACACACGGCGGGUGCUAACGUCCGUCGUGAAGAGGGAAACAACCCAGACCGCCAGCUAAGGUCCCAAAGUCAUGGUUAAGUGGGAAACGAUGUGGGAAGGCCCAGACAGCCAGGAUGUUGGCUUAGAAGCAGCCAUCAUUUAAAGAAAGCGUAAUAGCUCACUGGUCGAGUCGGCCUGCGCGGAAGAUGUAACGGGGCUAAACCAUGCACCGAAGCUGCGGCAGCGACGCUUAUGCGUUGUUGGGUAGGGGAGCGUUCUGUAAGCCUGUGAAGGUGUACUGUGAGGUAUGCUGGAGGUAUCAGAAGUGCGAAUGCUGACAUAAGUAACGAUAAAGCGGGUGAAAAGCCCGCUCGCCGGAAGACCAAGGGUUCCUGUCCAACGUUAAUCGGGGCAGGGUGAGUCGACCCCUAAGGCGAGGCCGAAAGGCGUAGUCGAUGGGAAACAGGUUAAUAUUCCUGUACUUGGUGUUACUGCGAAGGGGGGACGGAGAAGGCUAUGUUGGCCGGGCGACGGUUGUCCCGGUUUAAGCGUGUAGGCUGGUUUUCCAGGCAAAUCCGGAAAAUCAAGGCUGAGGCGUGAUGACGAGGCACUACGGUGCUGAAGCAACAAAUGCCCUGCUUCCAGGAAAAGCCUCUAAGCAUCAGGUAACAUCAAAUCGUACCCCAAACCGACACAGGUGGUCAGGUAGAGAAUACCAAGGCGCUUGAGAGAACUCGGGUGAAGGAACUAGGCAAAAUGGUGCCGUAACUUCGGGAGAAGGCACGCUGAUAUGUAGGUGAAGCGACUUGCUCGUGGAGCUGAAAUCAGUCGAAGAUACCAGCUGGCUGCAACUGUUUAUUAAAAACACAGCACUGUGCAAACACGAAAGUGGACGUAUACGGUGUGACGCCUGCCCGGUGCCGGAAGGUUAAUUGAUGGGGUCAGCGCAAGCGAAGCUCUUGAUCGAAGCCCCGGUAAACGGCGGCCGUAACUAUAACGGUCCUAAGGUAGCGAAAUUCCUUGUCGGGUAAGUUCCGACCUGCACGAAUGGCGUAAUGAUGGCCAGGCUGUCUCCACCCGAGACUCAGUGAAAUUGAACUCGCUGUGAAGAUGCAGUGUACCCGCGGCAAGACGGAAAGACCCCGUGAACCUUUACUAUAGCUUGACACUGAACAUUGAGCCUUGAUGUGUAGGAUAGGUGGGAGGCUUUGAAGUGUGGACGCCAGUCUGCAUGGAGCCGACCUUGAAAUACCACCCUUUAAUGUUUGAUGUUCUAACGUGGACCCGUAAUCCGGGUUGCGGACAGUGUCUGGUGGGUAGUUUGACUGGGGCGGUCUCCUCCUAAAGAGUAACGGAGGAGCACGAAGGUUGGCUAAUCCUGGUCGGACAUCAGGAGGUUAGUGCAAUGGCAUAAGCCAGCUUGACUGCGAGCGUGACGGCGCGAGCAGGUGCGAAAGCAGGUCAUAGUGAUCCGGUGGUUCUGAAUGGAAGGGCCAUCGCUCAACGGAUAAAAGGUACUCCGGGGAUAACAGGCUGAUACCGCCCAAGAGUUCAUAUCGACGGCGGUGUUUGGCACCUCGAUGUCGGCUCAUCACAUCCUGGGGCUGAAGUAGGUCCCAAGGGUAUGGCUGUUCGCCAUUUAAAGUGGUACGCGAGCUGGGUUUAGAACGUCGUGAGACAGUUCGGUCCCUAUCUGCCGUGGGCGCUGGAGAACUGAGGGGGGCUGCUCCUAGUACGAGAGGACCGGAGUGGACGCAUCACUGGUGUUCGGGUUGUCAUGCCAAUGGCACUGCCCGGUAGCUAAAUGCGGAAGAGAUAAGUGCUGAAAGCAUCUAAGCACGAAACUUGCCCCGAGAUGAGUUCUCCCUGACUCCUUGAGAGUCCUGAAGGAACGUUGAAGACGACGACGUUGAUAGGCCGGGUGUGUAAGCGCAGUGAUGCGUUGAGCUAACCGGUACUAAUGAACCGUGAGGCUUAACCUUACAACGCCGAAGCUGUU
RNAcentral lists this ribosomal RNA (2930 nucleotides) under Escherichia coli O146:H21 str. 2010C-3325. Its description in RNAcentral is "bacterial LSU rRNA". It matches the Rfam family "Bacterial large subunit ribosomal RNA". The record is from RNAcentral. Lineage: Bacteria; Pseudomonadati; Pseudomonadota; Gammaproteobacteria; Enterobacterales; Enterobacteriaceae.